Heterocephalus glaber (naked mole-rat) is the source of this 602-nucleotide long non-coding RNA. Lineage: Eukaryota; Metazoa; Chordata; Mammalia; Rodentia; Bathyergidae. The record is from Ensembl.
ACUUCAGCAUAUGAACUGGGGAGGAACAAAAAUAGUAUAUAAUAUAUUUCUAGGAAAUCUUUCCCAAUGAGUCCAGAUUCAUCUAGUAAUAACACAAACUAUGCAAUGAUAAAGUACUGAUCUGAAGUGAAGAAAAAAGAUCCUCUUUUCAGAGUUCAAGCUCAAUCAAUACUAAAGAGCCUAGCAAAUGACCCCCACCCCUUGGAGAACAGUGACAUGAUACUUGAAGCUGCUAGGAGAUGAGCAGCUUUCCUCUACCAGCCCCAUCCACCAUGCAUUUCUUCCUUGGAGCCACUGAUUUCAGACUGAAGCUGCUGGAAACUGCAAACAAUGUAUGCUGACGAAUAAGCAAAACAAGUUUUAGGUGGACAGUCCACGGAGGAACUCAUUGCUCAUUCCUGCACAGUGAACCAUGAAAAACAAGUACGGCCUACGCAGAGACAAGAAGAUGGAUUACAGAGCUAUCAUUUUCUACAGAAAGAAAGCACACCAGUUCAUCAACGGAGACAAACUUCCCUCUCUUGGAGUUUGAAGAUUAAUUUGUCAGAAUGAUCUUUAUGUAAGGACAAUGACAUCCACAGUGUCCCCUAUAGCAAUUUUAC